GACGAACGCUGGCGGCGUGCUUAACACAUGCAAGUGGAGCGACGAACCGGGGCUUGCCCCGGGGCAGAGCCGCGAACGGGUGAGUAACACGUGGGUAACCUGCCUCAAUGAUUGGGACAACCCCGGGGAAACUCGGGCUAAUACCAAAUGUGUUCACUCCUUCCAAGGGGAGUGAGGAAAGGAAGCUUCGGCCUCCGCAUUGAGAUGGGGCCCCGCGGCCCCAUUAGCUUGUUGGUGAGGUAACGGCUCACCAAGGCUUCGAUGGGUAGCUGGUCUGAGAGGACGAUCAGCCACACUGGGACUGAGACACGGCCCAGACUCCUACGGAGGCAGCAGUGGGAAUCUUGCACAAUGCGCGAAAGCGUGAUGCAGCAACGCCGCGU
This 383-nucleotide ribosomal RNA is filed under the name uncultured bacterium. Its description in RNAcentral is "bacterial SSU rRNA". It matches the Rfam family "Bacterial small subunit ribosomal RNA", at positions 28 to 402 of the family's 1533-position model. The record is from RNAcentral.